This 494-nucleotide ribosomal RNA is filed under the name uncultured bacterium. RNAcentral describes it as "partial 16S ribosomal RNA". It matches the Rfam family "Bacterial small subunit ribosomal RNA", at positions 28 to 507 of the family's 1533-position model. The record is from RNAcentral.
GACGAACGCUGGCGGCGUGCUUAACACAUGCAAGUCGAACGGAAAGGCCUGCUUUCCCUUGUGGAUUGCGGGUACUCGAGUGGCGAACGGGUGAGUAACACGUGAGUGAUCUGCCCCCAACUUGGGUAUAAGCCUGGGAAACUGGGUCUAAUUCCCGAUAGGACUGCAGGGUGGUGCCUGUGGUGGAAAACGAUUUUCUAGUGGUUGGGGAUGAGCUCGCGGCCUAUCAGCUUGUUGGUGGGGUAAUGGCCUACCAAGGCGGCGACGGGUAGCCGGCCUGAGAGGGUGGACGGCCACAUUGGGACUGGGAUACGACCCAGACUCCUACGGGAGGCAGCAGUGGGGAAUAUUGCACAAUGGGCGGAAGCCUGAUGCAGCGACGCCGCGUGGGGGAUGACGGCCUUCGGGUUGUAAACUCCUUUCGACCGCGAGGAAGCCACCUGGUUGGAAGGGUGGUGACGGUAGUGGUAGAAGAAGCACCGGCUAACUACGUG